Molecule: long non-coding RNA, 386 nt
Organism: Neltuma alba
Lineage: Eukaryota; Viridiplantae; Streptophyta; Magnoliopsida; Fabales; Fabaceae
Exons: 2
Source: RefSeq, a predicted model, not a curated record
AAUCCCAUUAGAAGACAAGCCCUCGUCAUCAGCCUUGGAGAUCAAAUUGGAAAGUGAGAUAAUGAAGGGCUGAUGAUGAGCUUUGGAUCUUCCAAUGGUUUCUUUAUCUGCAUUUGUGUUUUACUAAGUUGUGUGUGAAAAUAUGUUGGAUUUGUAUCAGUGUGUUGAAAAUUUCACAAAAACUUUUUUUUUUUAAAAAAAAAAAGAAGCUUAAAAAUUUAGACAUACCUUUACUUUGAAGUUGUAUUUUAUUUGAGUCUGUUGAAACUAUGUAACUACAUUCAAGAUUGCACACAAAAUACAAUAAUUGUGUGGCCCUUGUGUGCACAACUUAUUUUAUUUCAAAUAUUGUAUCAAUGAUUUCUUAUGUUAUUCUUUAUUUCAAU